Molecule: non-coding RNA, 205 nt
Organism: Oryza glumipatula
Lineage: Eukaryota; Viridiplantae; Streptophyta; Magnoliopsida; Poales; Poaceae
Source: Rfam
UUUAAGUGGAACCAUGAGUUUACGUGCUCAACUUGGAUCGUCCGUAUUAUUUGAAAACUUUUUAUAAUUAGUAUUUUUGUUGUUACGAGAUGAUAAAAUAUGAAUAGUACUUUAUGCGUGACUUAUGUUUUUAAUUUUUUUAAAUAAAAUUUCAAAUAAGAUGGACAAUCAAAGUUGAGCACGGAAAAACAUAACUGUAUUUAAA